GAUGAACGCUGGCGGCGUGCCUAAUACAUGCAAGUCGAGCGAACGGACGAGAAGCUUGCUUCUCUGAUGUUAGCGGCGGACGGGUGAGUAACACGUGGAUAACCUACCUAUAAGACUGGGAUAACUUCGGGAAACCGGAGCUAAUACCGGAUAAUAUUUUGAACCGCAUGGUUCAAAAGUGAAAGACGGUCUUGCUGUCACUUAUAGAUGGAUCCGCGCUGCUUUAGCUAGUUGGUAAGGUAACGGCUUACCACGGCAGCGAUGCAUAGCCGACCUGAGAGGGUGGUCGGCCGCACUGGAGCUUGGACGCGGUCCUGGCUCCUACGGGAGGCAGCAGUAGCGUAUCUUCCGCAGUGGGCGAGAGCCUGACGGAGCGGCGCCGCGUGAGUGGUAAAGGUCUUCGGAUCGUAAAGCUCUGUUAUUAGGGAAGAACAUAUGUGUAAGUAGCUGUACACAUCUUGACGGUACCUAAUCAGAAAGCCACGGCUAACUACGUG
This 497-nucleotide ribosomal RNA is filed under the name uncultured bacterium. RNAcentral describes it as "partial 16S ribosomal RNA". It matches the Rfam family "Bacterial small subunit ribosomal RNA", at positions 28 to 507 of the family's 1533-position model. The record is from RNAcentral.